RNAcentral lists this ribosomal RNA (460 nucleotides) under uncultured bacterium. RNAcentral describes it as "partial 16S ribosomal RNA". It matches the Rfam family "Bacterial small subunit ribosomal RNA", at positions 338 to 795 of the family's 1533-position model. The record is from RNAcentral.
CCUACGGGCGGCAGCAGUGAGGAAUAUUGGUCAAUGGGCGCGAGCCUGAACCAGCCAAGUAGCGUGAAGGAUGACUGCCCUACGGGUUGUAAACUUCUUUUAUAAAGGAAUAAAGUGAGGCACGUGUGCCUUUUUGUAUGUACUUUAUGAAUAAGGAUCGGCUAACUCCGUGCCAGCAGCCGCGGUAAUACGGAGGAUCCGAGCGUUAUCCGGAUUUAUUGGGUUUAAAGGGAGCGUAGAUGGGUUGUUAAGUCAGUUGUGAAAGUUUGCGGCUCAACCGUAAAAUUGCAAUUGAUACUGGCAGCCUUGAGUACAGUUGAGGUAGGCGGAAUUCUCGGUGUAGCGGUGAAAUGCUUAGAUAUCACGAAGAACCCCGAUUGCGAAGGCAGCUUACUAAACUGUGACUGACAUUGAUGCUCGAAAGUGUGGGUAUCAAACAGGAUUAGAUACCCUAGUAGUC